Molecule: ribosomal RNA, 203 nt
Filed under: uncultured Pseudomonas sp.
Lineage: Bacteria; Pseudomonadati; Pseudomonadota; Gammaproteobacteria; Pseudomonadales; Pseudomonadaceae
Description: partial 16S ribosomal RNA
Rfam family: Bacterial small subunit ribosomal RNA
Source: RNAcentral
GCUACGACUACGGGCCCCUUUACGGCCCUAGGGCUACACACGUGCUACAAUGGGUCGGUACAAAGGGUUGCCAAGCCGCGAGGUGGAGCUAAUCCCAUAAAACCGAUCGUAGUCCGGAUCGCAGUCUGCAACUCGACUGCGUGAAGUCGGAAUCGCUAGUAAUCGUGAAUCAGAAUGUCACGGUGAAUACGUUCCCGGGCCUU